RNAcentral lists this ribosomal RNA (303 nucleotides) under uncultured bacterium. RNAcentral describes it as "partial 16S ribosomal RNA". It matches the Rfam family "Bacterial small subunit ribosomal RNA", at positions 507 to 808 of the family's 1533-position model. The record is from RNAcentral.
AGCAGUAGCCACGGUAAUACGUAGGGGGCAAGCGUUAUCCGGAAUAACUGGGCGUAAAGGGUGCGCAGGUGGUUUAACAAGUUAGUGGUGAAAGGCAUAGGCUCAACCAAUGUAAGCCAUUAAAACUGUUUAACUUGAGUGCAGGAGAGGAAAGUGGAAUUCCUAGUGUAGCGGUGAAAUGCGAAGAUAUUAGGAGGAAUACCAGUGGCGAAGGCGACUUUCUGGACUGCAACUGACACUGAGGCACGAAAGCGUGGGGAGCAAACAGGAUUAGAUACCCCUGUAGUCCCUGUCUCUUAUACA